CGACAAGCGGAGGAGCAUGUGGUUAAUUCGAUGAUACGCGAGGAACUUACCUGGGCUCGAACGUAAGAUGACUGUAGGUGAAAGCUUACAUCUCUUCGGAGCAUUUUACGAGGUGCUGCAUGGUUGUCGUCAGCUCGUGCCGUGAGGUGUCGGGUUAAGUCCCAUAACGAGCGCAACCCCUACCUUUAGUUGCCAUCAGGUUAAGCUGGGGACUCUAAAGGAACUGCCUACGCAAGUAGUGAGGAAGGCGGGAAUGACGUCAAAUCAGCACGGCCCUUACGUCCAGGGCUACACACGUGCUACAAUGGCCGAUACAGAGGGCAGCUACCUGGUGACAGGAUGCAAAUCUCCAAAGUCGGUCUCAGUUCGGAUCGGAGUCUGCAACCCGACUCCGUGAAGUUGGAUUCGCUAGUAAUCGCGCAUCAGCCAUGGCGCGGUGAAUACGUUCCCGGGCCUU
RNAcentral lists this ribosomal RNA (457 nucleotides) under uncultured Sphingobacteriales bacterium. RNAcentral's name for it is "bacterial SSU rRNA". It matches the Rfam family "Bacterial small subunit ribosomal RNA", at positions 922 to 1382 of the family's 1533-position model. Lineage: Bacteria; Pseudomonadati; Bacteroidota; Sphingobacteriia; Sphingobacteriales. The record is from RNAcentral.